Molecule: long non-coding RNA, 581 nt
Organism: Symphalangus syndactylus (siamang)
Lineage: Eukaryota; Metazoa; Chordata; Mammalia; Primates; Hylobatidae
Source: RefSeq, a predicted model, not a curated record
AACCUCUUGCACAUGAACAUUUAUUGGAGGAAUGAAGACAAAGUUGGAGACUGCCUGUAGCUCCAUGACGCCUCGUCUGACAAACUAGUCAGCUCUCAUCGGACUUAGCCAUGGGAAGGCUUUCAGAUGGUGGCAAGAAACUCAAUGUGAAGUCAGGCUAAGAGCCUAUCAAUCAGCCCAGGAAUGACUAAUUAUUGGAGAACAGAAGAUUCUCUGUAGUUUCUCCUUUGUAUCAAUACAUGAAAAAAAAACACCAGAAUUUUGUGGUCAAAUGUGGCUGUAAGUGAACAGAUAAGAGCCGAAGCAAAUGGAAGCAUGCCUCCAUUCCUAAGGGAAGUUGGUGGGCUGCCCACAGAAUUUGCUGAUAAAGACCCAUCUGUUAAAACAAAGUCGAAGAGCGUUGGCAAUACAUUUCAACCAGAGACCAAUGUACUGUUGACCCUUGACCAACACAGGUUUAAACUGUGAAGGUCCACUUAUACAUGAAUUUUAUCCCAUCUUUGCCACCCCAAGACAGCAAGACCAACCCCUUCUCUCCCUCCUUCUCAGCCUACUCAACGUGAAGACAACAAAGAUGAAUA